GAAAACAUCUACUUACUAAACCAGUGUACACCUGUCUGUGAAUCUUCCCAUUGAAGGUACGUAUCCUGCUAUUCCCCUAGCCCUGAAGAGUAGAUUUCAGUAUGGAACAGAGAGAGAGAGAGGACUACGUGGCUUUGAUCUCGUCAUGGUAUUAAAAGGUCUCCAGUGAUAAGUAACCUCCUUCCUGGAGAGAGGAGAGGCUACCACUUCAGAAGUUCCUAGAUUUUAUCACAUGAGAAUGAUUCCCAAGAACCAAGAUGUACUGAAGAUUACCAAGAUGUUAUCUACACCAUGAGGAGCAACUUGAAAAACUGCAAGUCGCUUCUAGUGUGAGAUUUGGCUGUCUGCAAGGAUGUUGCCCAGGGGAUACCCAGAUGUUUUUGAUGUUAUAUCAUCCUUGUGGGAGGCUUCUCUCAUGUCCCCACAUGGAGAGCUGAAGCUGACAGAAGGAGCUCAUCCGUGCUCUCCCCGGAUUCGAACCUCUGACUUGUCAGUUAUCAGUCCUGCUGGCACAAGUGUUUAACCCACUGCUCUACUGGGGGCUUCAUGAGGAUAAAGACAUGAGAAUCAUGUCCGUUUUUGAUCAUUUGUUGUUCAUCAAAAACACAGUAGAUGGAGGUGAAGGGGAAAGAAGAGGAAGACCAGCAGCCCUGUUUCAAUGAUUACUUGUGACUUCAUCAGAUGUGAUGCUGCCGGGAUAGAGUCUGACGGAUCCUAUCAUAUGACGCAUGGCUACUUCUGGUGGGUCUCCAUUGAGCUCCGUCCUGGCAGCAGGCCAGCAGCAUGCUAAGAGGGAACCCUGAGGAUAUGGGUGACUACUCAUAUUCUCACUGAAGAAGCUGGGAACAGCACAGGAGGAAGCAAGGGACAGAUGGAAAAUGUCAUAGGAAGGCAGCCCAUGGCCA
Anolis sagrei ordinatus is the source of this 905-nucleotide long non-coding RNA. RefSeq lists it as uncharacterized. NCBI's taxonomy places the organism in Eukaryota, Metazoa, Chordata, Lepidosauria, Squamata, Anolidae. The record is from RefSeq and is a predicted model, not a curated record.